GGUUAAGCGACUAAGCGUACACGGUGGAUGCCCUGGCAGUCAGAGGCGAUGAAGGACGUGCUAAUCUGCGAAAAGCGUCGGUAAGGUGAUAUGAACCGUUAUAGCCGGCGAUGUCCGAAUGGGGAAACCCAGUGCAAUUCGUUGCACUAUCGUUAACUGAAUACAUAGGUUAACGAGGCGAACCGGGGGAACUGAAACAUCUAAGUACCCCGAGGAAAAGAAAUCAACCGAGAUUCCCCCAGUAGCGGCGAGCGAACGGGGAGCAGCCCAGAGUCUGAAUCAGCUUGUGUGUUAGUGGAACGGUCUGGAAAGUCCGACGGUACAGGGUGAUAGUCCCGUACACCAAAAUGCACAGGCUGUGAACUCGAAGAGUAGGGCGGGACACGUGGUAUCCUGUCUGAAUAUGGGGGGACCAUCCUCCAAGGCUAAAUACUCCUGACUGACCGAUAGUGAACCAGUACCGUGAGGGAAAGGCGAAAAGAACCCCGGCGAGGGGAGUGAAAAAGAACCUGAAACCGUGUACGUACAAGCAGUGGGAGCACCUUCGGGUGUGACUGCGUACCUUUUGUAUAAUGGGUCAGCGACUUAUAUUCUGUAGCAAGGUUAACCGUAUAGGGGAGCCGCAGGGAAACCGAGUCUUAACUGGGCGUUAAGUUGCAGGGUAUAGACCCGAAACCCGGUGAUCUAGCCAUGGGCAGGUUGAAGGUUGGGUAACACUAACUGGAGGACCGAACCGACUAAUGUUGAAAAAUUAGCGGAUGACUUGUGGCUGGGGGUGAAAGGCCAAUCAAACCGGGAGAUAGCUGGUUCUCCCCGAAAGCUAUUUAGGUAGCGCCUCGUGAACUCAUCUUCGGGGGUAGAGCACUGUUUCGGCUAGGGGGUCAUCCCGACUUACCAACCCGAUGCAAACUACGAAUACCGAAGAAUGUUAUCACGGGAGACACACGGCGGGUGCUAACGUCCGUCGUGAAGAGGGAAACAACCCAGACCGCCAGCUAAGGUCCCAAAGUCAUGGUUAAGUGGGAAACGAUGUGGGAAGGCACAGACAGCCAGGAUGUUGGCUUAGAAGCAGCCAUCAUUUAAAGAAAGCGUAAUAGCUCACUGGUCGAGUCGGCCUGCGCGGAAGAUGUAACGGGGCUAAACCAUGCACCGAAGCUGCGGCAGCGACACUAUGUGUUGUUGGGUAGGGGAGCGUUCUGUAAGCCUGCGAAGGUGUG
This 1217-nucleotide ribosomal RNA is filed under the name Pseudomonas aeruginosa. RNAcentral's name for it is "partial 23S ribosomal RNA". It matches the Rfam family "Bacterial large subunit ribosomal RNA", at positions 1 to 1260 of the family's 2925-position model. The record is from RNAcentral. Lineage: Bacteria; Pseudomonadati; Pseudomonadota; Gammaproteobacteria; Pseudomonadales; Pseudomonadaceae.